UACGUAGGGUGCGAGCGUUAAUCGGAAUUACUGGGCGUAAAGCGUGCGCAGGCGGUUAUGCAAGACAGGUGUGAAAUCCCCGAGCUCAACUUGGGAACUGCACUUGUGACUGCAAGGCUAGAGUACGGCAGAGGGGGAUGGAAUUCCGCGUGUAGCAGUGAAAUGCGUAGAUAUGCGGAGGAACACCAAUGGCGAAGGCAAUCCCCUGGGCCUGUACUGACGCUCAUGCACGAAAGCGUGGGGAGCAAACAGG
RNAcentral lists this ribosomal RNA (253 nucleotides) under uncultured bacterium. Its description in RNAcentral is "partial 16S ribosomal RNA". It matches the Rfam family "Bacterial small subunit ribosomal RNA", at positions 524 to 776 of the family's 1533-position model. The record is from RNAcentral.